RNAcentral lists this ribosomal RNA (460 nucleotides) under uncultured bacterium. RNAcentral describes it as "partial 16S ribosomal RNA". It matches the Rfam family "Bacterial small subunit ribosomal RNA", at positions 338 to 795 of the family's 1533-position model. The record is from RNAcentral.
CCUACGGGCGGCAGCAGUGAGGAAUAUUGGUCAAUGGACGAAAGUCUGACCCAGCCACGUCGCGUGAAGGAUGACUGCCCUAUGGGUUGUAAACUUCUUUUAUAUGGGAAUAACCUGUUCCCCGUGUGGGAUUUUGUAUGUACCGUAUGAAUAAGGAUCGGCUAACUACGUGCCAGCAGCCGCGGUAAGACGGAGGAUCCGAGCGUUAUCCGGAUGUAUUGGGUUUAAAGGGAGCGUAGGUGGAUUGUUAAGUCAGUUGUGAAAGUUUUCGGCUCAACCGGAAAAUUGCAGUUGAAACUGGCAGUCGUGAGUACAGUAGAGGUUGGCGGAAUUCGUGGUGUAGCGGUGAAAUGCUUAGAGAUCACGAAGAACUCCGAUUGCGAAGGCAGCUCACUGGACUGCAACUGACACUGAGGCUCGAAAGCGUGGGUAUCAAACAGGAUUAGAUACCCUUGUAGUC